GCUAAUCUGCGAUAAGCGCCGGUAAGGUGAUAUGAACCGUUAUAACCGGCGAUACCCGAAUGGGGAAACCCAGUGUGACUCGUCACACUAUCAUUAACUGAAUCCAUAGGUUAAUGAGGCGAACCGGGGGAACUGAAACAUCUAAGUACCCCGAGGAAAAGAAAUCAACCGAGAUUCCCCCAGUAGCGGCGAGCGAACGGGGAGGAGCCCAGAGCCUGAAUCAGCAUGUGUGUUAGUGGAAGCGUCUGGAAAGGCGCGCGAUACAGGGUGACAGCCCCGUACACAAAAGCGCAUGUGCUGUGAGCUCGAUGAGUAGGGCGGGACACGUGGUAUCCUGUCUGAAUAUGGGGGGACCAUCCUCCAAGGCUAAAUACUCCUGACUGACCGAUAGUGAACCAGUACCGUGAGGGAAAGGCGAAAAGAACCCCGGCGAGGGGAGUGAAAAAGAACCUGAAACCGUGUACGUACAAGCAGUGGGAGCACCCUUUGGGUGUGACUGCGUACCUUUUGUAUAAUGGGUCAGCGACUUAUAUUCUGUAGCAAGGUUAACCGAAUAGGGGAGC
This 563-nucleotide ribosomal RNA is filed under the name Salmonella enterica subsp. enterica serovar Enteritidis. RNAcentral's name for it is "partial 23S ribosomal RNA". It matches the Rfam family "Bacterial large subunit ribosomal RNA", at positions 60 to 666 of the family's 2925-position model. Lineage: Bacteria; Pseudomonadati; Pseudomonadota; Gammaproteobacteria; Enterobacterales; Enterobacteriaceae. The record is from RNAcentral.